RNAcentral lists this transfer RNA (66 nucleotides) under Philonthus decorus. RNAcentral's name for it is "tRNA-Ser". Lineage: Eukaryota; Metazoa; Arthropoda; Insecta; Coleoptera; Staphylinidae. The record is from RNAcentral.
GAAAUAAGUAAUUCAAAAGCAAGCUUCUAACUUAGCUUUUUAGCGAUGAGAUUCGUUAGUAUUUCU